This 787-nucleotide ribosomal RNA is filed under the name cf. Protobonellia sp. Ech24. Its description in RNAcentral is "partial 28S rRNA". It matches the Rfam family "Eukaryotic large subunit ribosomal RNA", at positions 90 to 632 of the family's 3401-position model. The record is from RNAcentral. Lineage: Eukaryota; Metazoa; Annelida; Polychaeta; Echiuroidea; Bonelliidae.
CGAGUGAAGAGGGAAGAGCCCAGCACUGAAUCCCUUGCCGAUGCGGCAACGGGAGCUGUAGUGUGUGGGACGGUCUUUGAGGUCCGUGCACGGUGAUUCCAAGUCCGUUUGAACACGAGCUGUCAAUCGCGUCCGCUUCUGUGAUGAGGCGGGCCUGACCAGAGAGGGUGUGAGACCCGUGGGAAUCACUAGCCAGUGCCGGCGCUUUGACCUGUCCCUAGAGUCGGGUUGUUUGGGAAUGCAGUCCAAAGCGGGUGGUAAACUCCAUCCAAGGCUAAACAUGCUCGCGAGUCCGAUAGCGGACCAAGUACCGCGAGGGAAAGUUGAAAAGAACUUUGAAGAGAGAGUUCAAGAGUACGUGAAAGCGCUGAGAGGUAAACGGAUGGGAUCACAAAGAUCUCUGGAAAUUCAGUUCUCGUUUCCGUCGCUCGUCANGUCCGUGUUUGUCCCGGUGGCGUCUGCACUCGCGUGUUGGGCGNUACCUUGGGGUGGCCGGCUUGGUGUGUGGCGGUUCAGCAGAGAGUGCACUUUUCCAUGAGAGCAAGCCGCGACGGGUUCUUCACCUGUUGUGAAGCGUCGUGCAUAGGGCCCUCGCAGUCGCACCGUGCGCGGCUCCUCGCCCCCCUGCGGGCUGUGUUGAGUUGUGCUGCGGAGGUGGCUCGGGUACUGGAUAUGGUGGCGUUCUUGUCCGCCAGGAGAAGGACCGAGGUGGUAUCGCGCCGUACGCCCGCNUUAAAGGCUCGCUCCGGCUGCCGUCCACGCUUCGUACUGUACCCCAGUGUGUCGU